RNAcentral lists this ribosomal RNA (139 nucleotides) under uncultured bacterium. RNAcentral's name for it is "partial 16S ribosomal RNA". It matches the Rfam family "Bacterial small subunit ribosomal RNA", at positions 355 to 509 of the family's 1533-position model. The record is from RNAcentral.
UGGGGAAUAUUGGACAAUGGGGGGAACCCUGAUCCAGCGACGCCGCGUGAGUGAAGAAGUAUUUCGGUAUGUAAAGCUCUAUCAGCAGGGAAGAAAGAAAUGACGGUACCUGACUAAGAAGCCCCGGCUAACACGUGCC